AGUAACAGAACCUGCGUGCAAGAGCUAGGUGAAGGACCAGUCAGUCCUCUAGCUCUAGGGAAGCUCUGUCCACUUCUCUGAGGAAGUGAGGCCACGUGUGGGGUACCGCAGCCCGUCCAUCAUUGCCUUCUCCAGCUGCUGGAGACAGGGCACCGGAGGUCGCACCCCACGUUCAGGUGGCAGUGUUGAAGCCAAAAGCUUCUAAAGAAGUGGUUUCUGAAAAAUUAAGAGUUGAAUGUAUAUGAGUAAGCAAACACGGGAAUCCAACAAAACCACAGCCUGUGACAGAUCAAGCCUAGUACCUUUCCAGCACUUAAGAAGAGUUCAUGCCGAAUCUAUUCACUAUUCAUCUUGACUCCAUCAUGAAGGUAAACUAAAUUGCCA
RNAcentral lists this long non-coding RNA (384 nucleotides) under Mus pahari (shrew mouse). Its description in RNAcentral is "lncRNA (MGP_PahariEiJ_G0006477.1)". Lineage: Eukaryota; Metazoa; Chordata; Mammalia; Rodentia; Muridae. The record is from RNAcentral.